CAGAGAGAAGAAAAUCUUAUCUCUAGACCUCCUUCGCAUGUGAGAGCUGAUCAAUGGGAGGUAUACUUGUUCGUUAUUGGGGACAAGAAGAUGUCUAGGUAUUUGUUCUUUUGUGAUUAGUUUCCUUUUAUAUAAUGAAAUUAUAUAUUAUAUUUUUAAUUACAUUAAUAACUUUUGUAGGCAUAAUGUGCACGAAACAAAAAUAACAGAAAGAUGUUGGG
RNAcentral lists this long non-coding RNA (221 nucleotides) under Elaeis guineensis (African oil palm). RNAcentral describes it as "long non-coding RNA (EGUI_LNC038333)". The record is from RNAcentral. Lineage: Eukaryota; Viridiplantae; Streptophyta; Magnoliopsida; Arecales; Arecaceae.